Molecule: long non-coding RNA, 1226 nt
Organism: Astyanax mexicanus (Mexican tetra)
Lineage: Eukaryota; Metazoa; Chordata; Actinopteri; Characiformes; Acestrorhamphidae
Exons: 3
Source: RefSeq, a predicted model, not a curated record
UCAGAUUUUAUUGUGAUCUGAAGCAGUAAUGGUAUUUUCUUUCUCCAAAGGACUGAAAACUUUAUAAGAAUAAAAACUACCACUUUAAUAACUCAUUUUGCAGUAAUAAGGCUGUUUUUGUGUGAUCUACUCCCAUACAAACAGAAAACCGCAGUGUCUCUUUAACAGAGCGCUUUCUGCAGAGUGAGAAGUCUCUGAGAGAGAGUCUCUGUGCCCAAGCAGCCCCCGCCCCUCCUUCCAGCUGGCUGAGCUCGACACCUGAUUGGCUGACAGGCCUCAUUUGCAUAUCCCCACGUCCAGUAGAGUCUGCUGAGUAAUCUGACACCGGAAACUCGGCGAUGCGUCGAAUAAAACGCUUUUAAUAAGGAGUUAAAGUUAAUAUUAAUGUCUUUCUGCCUGAAAUGAUUUCAAGCACUGAUUCGAUAUAAAUGGGGAUUAAAGGAGACUGGAUUGACGGAUUCUCUUAAGUUUGGACUCGUUUUGAAGGGAGUUCUGCCCUGACAUCUGAACACUUCAUGGUUGCAGUUGAUCAGACCAUCGUAAAUGGAAAUCUUACAGAUUUUGGCGAUGCCCUGGUACUGAUGUUUGCAACAUACUACUGCCUCAACAUCAGUUAUCCAGCAGAAAUGGCAGCAACUCUGGAAUUCUUGCAGAGGUGCCUUUUCAAGAUCAACCCGGACAAGGGGAGCAAAGUGGAGAAAAGGGAGUCCAAGAAAACACUAUCCAUCAAUCCCAAAGUUCUGUCAUUGAUCACCAAUAUUGCAGACUUUGAAUGGAGAGAGUAAAAGGCAUCUCGCACAAAUUUUCAGAGAGACACAUGGACACUGACACACACGUUGUAGAGAGUACAACAAAAGCAGGCACCAGUUUUUUUUUUAUGUUAAGUUUUAAGACAGUUGCCUGUGAAAAGUAUAAAAAAGGAUAUGCAUUCCGAGCAUGUUUGAUGGUUGCCCUUUUUCCUUUGGUUGGAGUUCUUUAGGGGGAUUAUGUUGAUUUGUUGGGGCUUAUGUGUUGUAUAUGCGCGAGUUGAAUUUUUUUAUUCACCCUCCUGAGUUUGGAGUGAAGGGUGGAUGGCCCAGCUUUGUUUCUCUGCCACCUGUGACACUAUAGUAUUUUACAUUUUUUCUAACUGAUUAAAAAAUUCUCACUAUUUUUCACAUUGAUAUUACAUACAAGUGGGUCGGCAUUAAAUAACAUUUUUAUUGUUGCGUAGUUUAUAAUUACUA